GACGAACGCUGGCGGCGUGCUUAACACAUGCAAGUCGAGCGGGAUCCAACCGGUGGCAACACCGGGGAAGAUCUAGCGGCGAACGGGUGAGUAACACGUGAGCAACCUGCCCCGAAGACUGGGAUAACACCGGGAAACCGGUGCUAAUACCGGAUGUCGUCAUUAGGCCGCAUGACCUGAUGAUGAAAGGAUUCAUCGCUUCGGGAGGGGCUCGCGGGCUAUCAGCUUGNGGUGGGGUAACGGCCUACCAAGGCGACGACGGCUAGCUGGUCUGAGAGGACGACCAGCCACACUGGGACUGAGACACGGCCCAGACUCCUACGGGAGGCAGCAGUGGGGAAUCUUGCGCAAUGGGCGAAAGCCUGACGCAGCAACGCCGCGUGGGGGAUGAAUGCCUUCGGG
Molecule: ribosomal RNA, 402 nt
Filed under: uncultured bacterium
Lineage: Bacteria
Description: bacterial SSU rRNA
Rfam family: Bacterial small subunit ribosomal RNA
Source: RNAcentral